RNAcentral lists this ribosomal RNA (253 nucleotides) under uncultured bacterium. RNAcentral's name for it is "partial 16S ribosomal RNA". It matches the Rfam family "Bacterial small subunit ribosomal RNA", at positions 524 to 776 of the family's 1533-position model. The record is from RNAcentral.
UACGGAGGGUGCAAGCGUUAUCCGGAUUCACUGGGUUUAAAGGGUGCGUAGGUGGGUUGGUAAGUCAGUGGUGAAAUCUCCAGGCUUAACUUGGAAACUGCCAUUGAUACUAUCACUCUUGAAUACCGUGGAGGUCAGCGGAAUAUGUCAUGUAGCGGUGAAAUGCUUAGAUAUGACAUAGAACAUCAAUUGCGAAGGCAGCUGGCUACACGAAUAUUGACACUGAUGCACGAAAGCGUGGGGAUCAAACAGG